UGUCAAUCAAACUUUAUUAGUACAAAAGCUGCAACAACCAGUAAACCAAUAAACACAAUAUAUAUAUAUAUAAUAUAAUAAAUUAACAAAUUCAUAUUUUAUGUUAAUGAGACAAACAUUUGUAUUCUUGUUUGAUUGUACAAUGUGGCCAAAAGUAUGUGGACGUCUCUGUUUGUCCUGGUUUUGGCUUCUUCGUUCCACUGAGGGAAAUAAUGAUAUAAUUGAAUAUCCAGUGAUAUUGUGAACACCUGACCGUGUGUGUGUGUGUAUGUGUGUGUUCAGGACGACAGGUGGGACGCGGAGCUGCGGAGAGAGAUACUGAGACAACAUGAAGACCGACUGAAGGAGGCGCUGGAGGCCGACGACGCGUCACUGGGCCUGAGACACAAACUGCAGCAGCUGCACUCACUGACGUAGUCGUCAUACAACAACCAAUCACAGCGCUCGCAUCACAUCAUCACCACAGACGAGUCGACGCCGUCUGCAGCUGAACCGUCGCACGGCGACUGGAUGUGAGACACGUAAUAAAUAACAAUCAUCUGAGGAACUAAACUAACGAGACGUUCGACUAACAGACCUGAUGAGCAGAGCAAAGAGAAACUGAUUGUGAAUAAUAAAUAGUCUGAAAAAACGGAA
This is a long non-coding RNA of Scophthalmus maximus (turbot), 636 nucleotides long. RefSeq lists it as uncharacterized. The transcript has 2 exons. NCBI's taxonomy places the organism in Eukaryota, Metazoa, Chordata, Actinopteri, Pleuronectiformes, Scophthalmidae. The record is from RefSeq and is a predicted model, not a curated record.